RNAcentral lists this ribosomal RNA (604 nucleotides) under Entolomataceae sp. TRTC156478. RNAcentral's name for it is "eukaryotic LSU rRNA". The stretch from base 239 to 392 matches the Rfam family "5.8S ribosomal RNA". The record is from RNAcentral. Lineage: Eukaryota; Fungi; Basidiomycota; Agaricomycetes; Agaricales; Entolomataceae.
CAUUAUUGAAUAAACUUGGUUGGGUUGUUGCUGGCUCCUCGGAGCAUGUGCNCGCUCACUCCAUUUUUAACCACCUGUGCACCUUGUGUAGAUCUGAACAACUCUCGGGGAAACUCGGUCAGAGGAUUGCUGUGUGUAAAAGCCAGCUUUUCUUGGGUUCAGAUCUAUGUCUCUAUAUACACCAUAAGAAUGUAUUGGAAUGUAAUUAAUAGGCGUUACAGCCUUUAAAAUCAAAUACAACUUUCAACAACGGAUCUCUUGGCUCUCGCAUCGAUGAAGAACGCAGCGAAAUGCGAUAAGUAAUGUGAAUUGCAGAAUUCAGUGAAUCAUCGAAUCUUUGAACGCACCUUGCGCUCCUUGGUAUUCCGAGGAGCAUGCCUGUUUGAGUGUCGUGAAAUUCUCAACCUCUCUGGUUUUUUAUAAACUAGUUAGGCUUGGAUUUUGGAGGUUGCUGGCUUCUCAGAAAUCAGCUCUUCUUAAAUAUAUUAGCAAAGUCUUUGCUGACCAUCUUNGGUAUGAUAAUUAUCUAUAUCAUUGAGAAUCAGCUUCCGUCUCGGAAGGAUUUUGCUUCUAAUGGUCUAUAUAGACAACUGACAAUUGACCU